AUUGAACGCUGGCGGCAUGCCUUACACAUGCAAGUCGAACGGUAACGGGCCUUCGGGUGCCGACGAGUGGCGAACGGGUGAGUAAUACAUCGGAACGUGCCCGAUCGUGGGGGAUAACGAGGCGAAAGCUUUGCUAAUACCGCAUACGAUCUACGGAUGAAAGCAUGGGACCGCAAGGCCUUGCGCGGACGGAGCGGCCGAUGGCGGAUUAGGUAGUUGGUGGGAUAAAAGCCUACCAAGCCGACGAUCUGUAGCUGGUCUGAGAGGAUGAUCAGCCACACUGGGACUGAGACACGGCCCAGACUCCUACGGGAGGCAGCAGUGGGGAAUUUUGGACAAUGGGCGCAAGCCUGAUCCAGCCAUGCCGCGUGCAGGAUGAAGGCCUUCGGGUUGUAAACUGCUUUUGUACGGAACGAAAAGCCUUCUUUUAAUACAGGAGGGUCAUGACGGUACCGUAAGAAUAAGCACCGGCUAACUACGUG
This 482-nucleotide ribosomal RNA is filed under the name uncultured bacterium. RNAcentral describes it as "partial 16S ribosomal RNA". It matches the Rfam family "Bacterial small subunit ribosomal RNA", at positions 30 to 507 of the family's 1533-position model. The record is from RNAcentral.